This 253-nucleotide ribosomal RNA is filed under the name uncultured bacterium. Its description in RNAcentral is "partial 16S ribosomal RNA". It matches the Rfam family "Bacterial small subunit ribosomal RNA", at positions 524 to 776 of the family's 1533-position model. The record is from RNAcentral.
UACGUAGGGGGCUAGCGUUGUCCGGAUUUAUUGGGCGUAAAGAGCGUGUAGGCGGCCAGGUAGGUCUGCUGUGAAAACUCGAGGCUCAACCUCGAGACGUCGGCGGAAACCAUCUGGCUAGAGUCCGGAAGAGGAGAGUGGAAUUCCCGGUGUAGUGGUGAAAUGCGUAGAUAUCGGGAGGAAUACCAGUGGCGAAGGCGGCUUCUUGGCCUGUUCUUGACGCUGAGGCGCGAAAGCUGGGGGAGCAAACGGG